CCGGACCUGACUGCUAUCGGAUUGGUACUAAGCCAUGCGAGUCAUUGUAGCAAUACAAGGCGGACGGCUCAGUAACACGUAGUCAACCUAACUCGUGGACGUGGAUAACCUCGGGAAACUGAGAAUAAACCACGAUAGAUCAUAGUGCCUGGAAUGGCUUAUGGUCCAAACAGUUUACUGCCAUGGGAUGGGACUGCGGCCUAUCAGCUUGUUGGUGAGGUAAUGGCCCACCAAGGCGAUUACAGGUACGGGCUCUGAGAGGAGAAGCCCGGAGAUGGGUACUGAGACACGGACCCAGGCCCUAUGGGGCGCAGCAGGCGAGAAACCUUAGCAAUGUGCGAAAGCACGACUGGGUCAGUCCGAGUGAUUCCUGAUAAAGGAGUCUUUUGCCUGUCCCAAAAGCACAGGUGAAUAAGGGGUGGGCAAGUCUGGUGUCAGCCGCCGCGGUAAUACCAGCACCUCGAGUGGUCAGGACGUUUAUUGGGCCUAAAGCAUCCGUAGCCGGCUCUGCAAGUCUUCGGUUAAAUCCACCUGCUCAACAGAUGGGCCGCUGGAGAUACUACAGAGCUAGGGAGUGGGAGAGGCAGACGGUAUUCAGUGGGUAGGGGUAAAAUCCUCUGAUCCAUUGAGGACCACCAGUGGCGAAGGCGGUCUGCCAGAACACGUUCGACGGUGAGGGAUGAAAGCUGGGGGAGCAAACCGGAUUAGAUACCCGGGUAGUCCCAGCUGUAAACGAUGCAAACUCGGUGAUGCAUUGGCUUAUGGCCAAUGCAGUGCCGCAGGGAAGCCGUUAAGUUUGCCGCCUGGGAAGUACGGACGCAAGUCUGAAACUUAAAGGAAUUGGCGGGGGAGCACCACAAGGGGUGAAGCCUGCGGUUCAAUUGGAGUCAACGCCGGA
This 898-nucleotide ribosomal RNA is filed under the name uncultured archaeon. Its description in RNAcentral is "bacterial SSU rRNA". It matches the Rfam family "Archaeal small subunit ribosomal RNA", at positions 17 to 922 of the family's 1478-position model. The record is from RNAcentral.